CAUGUUGUACGAGUAAGAAAAAAAAGACUAUUUACCCCCACAAUAAAAAUAUAAAUUUUUUAAUCAUUAUAAAAACAGCACAAUGCUUAAUUAUGUUUUCUAGUUUAUUUCAUAAAAGAUUUCUCAACAGGUGGUUUAAAGGGCAGUAAUCCCAACACUAAGUUCGAAGCACAUCGAGUAUCUCUGGUUCCUUCCUCCCGCUAUUCUUAUCAUGACAGUCUCGUAUUCAAGGUUCACAUAUGCCAGUUAUUUUCGAACGCCGUUCAGGCAAUAGUUUGGGCUCGAAUACUGGGCGCGAUGCAAGGUCUUUCGAUUGGGUCAGGCGAUAUUUUUGUUGCCUUUAAUAAAUCGAACAGCAAGACUUCCAAAAAUAGAUCAUGGAAGACAUUCUAUCUGUUUUCCAAGAAGGUCAGGUACAUAUUUAAUGAUUAUGAUAGUUCUAAUAGAAACUAGGAUGAAUAUCCUUAUGCAGUUGGUGGGGAGUGGUAUCCCAGAUUCUUGCCUCGCAACAUAUUCGCUUUUGCGAGAUUUUUCAUGACUGGUAUGAAUUAAUUCACGCAGUUCCUGCUUUGUUAAUUUUUCACCCCCUUUCUUGUAUUAGCUGCUAAAAUUUUAACUUAAGAAUUUUAAUUCUACUACUCCUAUUAGAAUGAAUACUGUAUUUGUUUUAGUGCAUGUUUACUUGUUAUUUUUUCAAACUAGUGUGUUUUCUUUCGCUCCAAAUUUUUUCUGGCCAAAUAUAAAAAUUGGCGAUGAUAGAGAGGGCCUUUUGAUGCAAAAAGGCUUCUUUCAUGAAUCCAACGACUCACGCAUCAGCAUCUAGUCAGUCUACAACCUGUUUUGCAUGCAAAUUAUGUGGCACCUGUGCGUUACGACCAACAUGGACCCUAAUGCUGCAAUGGUGCAUUCCAUGUGGGGUGAUUGUAGCGAGGCAGAAGUCCUCAAGACAUGCAAAGACCAGAUGAAGAGGUUCACUUCACGACCCUUGACAUCUUAUGGCCUUUCACGCUGGUCUGAAGAGAUCGAGAGGAUAAUUUCUGAGACCCAAAGGACCCACAAAAAGUAUGCUCCACUCCUGACGCUAGGGGCUGAAAAGCGUCCUCUGUGGAGCUUCCCAGGUCAGUCCUCGAUAUAAAUGGUGAGAACAUUCAUUUGGUAAGUCUUCGAAUUUCUCCGAGACCAUCCCAAAACAGUUUUCAUUCAUAGGCCGCGACUCAUGGGAGCCCAAAAAGAAAAGGAAAACUCCACUUGCAACCUCCGAUGAAGAUUCUGAUGAUGGGAGAGCUUUAGCGUCCCAAUUCAAUAUUUAGAGGAGAUAAUCCAUCGGCCCUUAAGCCAAAAAAUCUCUUGGCGUGGACUUAAGUUUUGCGCCUCGUAUAUUACCAGGUUUCGUUCCACCAUCCGCUAGCCAAGAUGGGCGACCCAAAAGCACAACUCAGACUAUUGCCCCUGUUUCAGGAUCUGCGAGUGUCGUGCAAGUGGCUUCUAGCACUUUGGGCUUCUGGUAGUGUGUCCCCCGGUUCAGUUUCAGUGCACCCUACUAUCUCUAAAUCUUUGAACAUCGGAUCGACUCAAAUAGCUAAUCGUCCUGUUGUUGUGGUAUCCGUGGUUGCUGUUACUGUUUCAACUAUUUAUCUACCUCCUGCUCUGCCAACAACUUCUUCAAGGGUUCCUUCACCAGUAGUUUUGGGAGGGGUCUGGUUCCUCAAAGAGGGGCCCGACUUCUUUGAAAAAGAGCCAAUUUUUAGAUAAUUUGUUUGCUAGUGUUGAGGAUUCUUCAGAGACAGGAGAGACUCACGUUUGCCCAAGAGAGAAUGCCCCAGAGAAGAGUUCUUCUGCAGAAGCUCCUUCUAACCCGGCACCACCCCAAUUAAUUUUGUCUUCGGGCUUCAACUCACCAACUGAAUAUAUAAAUCAGCUAGCUUCGACUGUGGUGAACACCCCAAAAUUCAUGUCCAGCGAAUUGGGCUGCGAGGAGGAAGGCAAUGUUGAAGUUGUUGUGUCUAUAAGUAUGCAACAGAGGACCCAGAUCGAUGUUGUUUCCCUGUUUCCCCCAGGGCUUCUAAAGUAAGCUCCCCCCAGAUGUCACAGCCAUGCAUAGUGUGGUUAUGUCAUUGCCUGCGUUACCCUUGGUGGAUGCUAUAAGGGUUGUAAUGGAAAUUCCCACCACACAAUCGGAGACCAGUUUGACUGUUGUAUUUGAUGCCCCUCCUGCCUCUAUUCUUGGUGAGAGAGUAGAGGCAGUUGCUAUUACCACAAAGGAUGGUGUGGUGGCGAGUUAACUCAGGGAGGCAGAUAUACUUCGCGCGGCUGUGGUGCACUUUCCAGAGGAGUUGUUGGCAAGGACAAAUGAUAUCUUUAAAGUUGAUAAGGCGAUGCGUGAGAAAUUAACUUUGGGUUGUUUUUACUCUGACAUACUGAUGCGUUACGAGUUGUCGAUCAGAGAAAAAUAGGUUGAUUUGGUGGAAGAGGAAAAGAAGAGAGUAACAGAGUUGGAAGCCCAGUUGGCGGAGGCUCUGCGUGCUUUGAGGCAGGAAAAAGGGAAAAUGCAAAAAAAGAAAAAGAAAACGAUUGAUAGAAGAAAUGGCGGCAGAGGCCGAUAGUCAUGGCACAGAGCUGAUGAAUCUUAAGCUGGAGAUGAAGAAGGUUGUAAAAGAUAAGGAGGUAGUGCAUAAAAAUUUGGAUUCUGCCGAAGAGUUUGUUAGAGUUGUGAGAGGUAAAUUUGAAGGAGCGGAGAGGCUCCGAAUUGUUGCACUUGCAGAAAGAGAUGCAGAAAAACAAAUGCUGGGUGAUCCACAGGAAAAGCUGAAGGGGGCAAAAGGGCAUGUGAAUGACCUUCUGCAAGACAUCAAACAAGUCUAUGUAGAAAAAACUUGGGAGCAUAUUCGAGACCAAGAAAUUGCAGAGAAGGUAAAUAUCCAAAUCGAUGAGGUGGAAUUGGCCAAGCAUAUGGACGUGAUCCUUAAUGAUGAUAAGAGGUCGCUUUCCCAGAAGAGAGACGUGCCUAUUUAAUAAUGCAGAUCGUUUAACAUCAUACUUGAUGAUUUCAAUUUGGAGCAUUAAUGAACCGCAUCAUUUGUUUUAUCUCUUUUUUUUUGUAGCUAUUGGUUUGUGAUUUUUUGGUUUAUUUUUAUAUAAACAAUACUGGCAUCGUAUAGUUUUGCUAGAAUUUUGACGUGCUGAUAAAUAGAGUUAAUAUUGGAGUA
Humulus lupulus (European hop) is the source of this 3206-nucleotide long non-coding RNA. RefSeq lists it as uncharacterized. The record is from RefSeq and is a predicted model, not a curated record. Lineage: Eukaryota; Viridiplantae; Streptophyta; Magnoliopsida; Rosales; Cannabaceae. The transcript has 2 exons.